Molecule: long non-coding RNA, 3263 nt
Organism: Cavia porcellus (domestic guinea pig)
Lineage: Eukaryota; Metazoa; Chordata; Mammalia; Rodentia; Caviidae
Exons: 2
Source: RefSeq, a predicted model, not a curated record
GUCGGCAGAGAGAAGGGAGGUGAGGGGCUUCCCGCUCAGUCAGAGGCUAAUGGGGGGCAGAUGGGUGGGGGCGGGCUGGUCUUUCUGGCUCAGUGGAAAAAGUAAGUGUCCUCACUGAAAUGGGUGACACAUGGAGCCAGAGAAAGGGUCUUCUUGGGAGCCUGCUGCUAGCCGGAGUCAUUCUGAAUCUGUUUGCAGAAAAGCCACCCUCUUCUGGCAACCUUAUUAGGAGUACUUAAAGACAUUCUUCCUGGAAGUCUGAGCAGGAGGAAUGUACCCAAAGUGACCCAGCUCAGCAUCUGUAGACAUCUGUGAGUUCAUAAAGCUCAGACAAGUCCUCAGGCCAAGCAGGGCUCCAGCAGGCACAGCCCGCGGGAGUCAGCCCUGGCGCCGCAGGUGCUGCCCAGCUGGGGCCUGGACGGUCCAAGUGGCCGCUCUCUGGGGGCUGCAGGUGAGCCAGGUGUGAUGGAGCCUCUUGGUCAUGUUAUGUUCCCUGUGCUUGACUUGGGAUGUCACUUGGCCUUGCUUAUCAUUUAGGUCAGAAGCCACACUCCAUGGAAACUGCACAGUGGGAAGAUGCGUGUGUGUUUGUAAGCAAACGUCCAGACUGAGGGAUGCGGUACUGAGUGUGCAGACAUACACUGGACACUGUCCCAAAAGACACUGUACAGACAUGAAAGCUCUCCUUCCCCCAGCGGUCCUCUAAACGCCACUCCAGCCCGGCUUCAAUCAGCUGCCUGAGGGAAGUUUAAGGCUCAGCUCAGGCGCUACCAUGUAAUCCUCACCAAGCCCCAGCAGGUGGCGCUCGAGGCUUGAAGCUCAUCCUAGGCGCAGUUCCUCCUCUGCAUAGGUAUGGGGUUGUGCCCACCUGAGGCUACCCAGCUGGACCAUGUGCACUGUCCAGGUCCAGACCUGUCCCACAGUGAGACUGUGGCCUUGGACAAGCUGCUUACCUACCCUGUGCUUCAGCAGUCACACAGGAAUAACAGGAGUCCUGAGGCGUGCAGACAUACUCCCACAAAGGACCCCAGGGGGAAGAGGGACAUUCAGGCAGAGAUGGGUUUAGGGGAGAAGCCUCGGUAGCCUCCCGAGCAAAGGGAAGGAGUGAUUUCACUUCCCGCAGCAGCUCUGAGCAUGCCUGUUAGGAGACCUGUCAGUGGGCGCCAGAUGCCUGUUGCAGCCUCAGUAGAAUCAUGUGCCAGAUGGAGGGAAGAGGACCCCAGUUAAUUAUGAGGCAAAAACACCUCAUCUCUCUGGCUUCUUUCAAGUUCAUGCCUCGGUUUUAGCUUUCAGUGUUUACUCUCCUUGGCAGGAGAAGAUAAGGUAGAUACUGACAAAAUAAUGUUACUGGGCUGGAAAGAAAGGAUCUGGUGACCAUUAUCAUGAGAGUGGGGGAGAGUGGAUUCUAAAACUGGAUUCUUCGGGGUUCCCCAGGUCUCAGCCUUGAGGAGGACAGGACAGGCACUGGAAUCUGGGUCUGACAGUGAGGACUGCUGUGCCACAGGCAGGGCCACACACUCCAGUGCUGGAGCCCAUGUGGGCUGCAUCAGCUGCAGGAACACAAUGACAGGAUUCGGAGAGAGGAAUCAACACGAGACACGAAUGUCACAGCAACACAGGCCGAGGUCACACUCUGAGAGCGUCACAGAGUCUACACUGGCUGGAGACCGCACGUGUGAACAUACGAUGGUGUGCCACCAAGAGAACAUUGAAACACGGUGGGGUGCAGGGCCAGGAAGGUCACUGACGCUGACAGGAAGCCUCAGUGCCGCUGCGUCAGGCAGCACAGAAGCCAUAGGAGCGCGGGCCCCAGCUCCCCCUCGCCCACUGUCACCCCUCCAUUUCUCAUUUUGCCCUUUUCUGCCUCUCCAAGUGGCAUGCUCUGCUCCUUCCCGCCGGGGUGACAGGGAAAGUCAGCAGACUUGCAGGGCUGGAGCCCUGCCGAGAGCAACCCGGGCAGGUGUUGCCCAUCUGGAGGGCAGCAGUGGGCUGUGCCCUGUGCCACAGCCACUCACCCUGGAGACUGCCAGCAGGGAGGGGUGCUAUCCCUUCUCAGAAGGGACUGUCCCUAAUUGUUCUGUAAGCCUCAGGGUAGAUGACAGCACCUACACACUCAACAUUAAUCACAUCCAAACAUAGAGAAAUCAAGUCACCAGACGGCUUUCCCCCAAUACUGAAGUAGCCUAAGCUAUCAGAAACACUUGCAAAUUUGACUAGCAUUUUUAUUGGCAGCAAGGGGCCGAACUCCACCAGUCCCUGGCUUCCAGCUCAUCUGGCAAAGAAAAUGUAAAGUUUUUUUUGGAGGGGACUCAUUGAGGGAAAAAAUGGCAGGAUCUGUGAGAGUGCUCUCAGUGUACAUAGGACCCAGCAAAGCAUUUUUCUCCGAUGUGCAAUAUGUUUGAAAAAUGUUUAAAUUUUUAAAAAUUUAUUAAGGACACACUGCUGUCAAUCACCCUGGAAAAGCUCCUCCUCGCUUUAACCCCAUCCCAUCAUUCUUGCUCCUUUCUGAUGCCUUCUGGGAGUCCUCUGUCAUGGGUGUCUCCAGUUGGGCUCGCAUGGUCUCCCUGAUGUCCCAAUCGGUUCAAAGUGUUUAUCCUUCACGGUCAUUAUGACCUUGGAGAAGAGCCAGAAGCCGCAGGGUAGCGGACCUGCUGGAUGCCACGGAGGAGGAGGCACCACAGCAUCUUUAACAAGCGGCCUCUCAGCAGGACGGCUGCUAGCAGCCGGCUCACUGCACUGCUGAUCACCUCGGGUACAGACUCUCACGAAAGAGGACUUCCAGAACUGCCUCGGGGAGCUGCCAGUGAUGAGAUCACUGUUCCAAGUCAAGGAGAAGGUUUUUGCGGGGAAUUAAGGGCAUUAGGCCUUCCAGCAUAAUAAAUUUUUAGAAAUUUAAACAUUUACCACGGAGCGAGAUCAGUGUAUGUAGGUAUGUGGUUUGGUCAGUUCUUAUCUGUCUUUGGUGGUGAUUGAACUGAGGACCUUGUGACAUGCUAAGCACACCCUCUAUCACCUAGCUGUCCCCUCUGGGUAUCCGCUAUGUGUGGGGUGUUAUAUGCUUAUAUAGUAAAUGUGUGGUAUACAUAUGUAUAGACACCACAUGUAUUCACAUGUGAUAUGUGUGCUGCAUGUGACAGAUGUGUAGCAUGUGUAUCUUUGGGAUAUAUGGUGGUGACCCACAUGUACACAUGGUACAUGCAUGGUGCAUGCUGUGUGUCAGUGUGUGGGUGGUAAAUGUGUAAUACAUGUGAUGCGUGCAGAUG